This 348-nucleotide ribosomal RNA is filed under the name Triticum aestivum (bread wheat). RNAcentral's name for it is "partial small subunit ribosomal RNA". Lineage: Eukaryota; Viridiplantae; Streptophyta; Magnoliopsida; Poales; Poaceae. The record is from RNAcentral.
AUGCAGCCCUGCUGGUCAGAUCCGCUGGCCGCCAACAGGCGGUAUUUCUUGCCGGCCCGCGAGAGGCUCCUGUCCUUCCUCUCAUCUCCCAUGGACCGUGAACCGGCCAGCCGUUCCCUCUUGUACGUGGUUAAUCGGUCAACAACACCAACCAAGGGUCAAGAUAAGCAGCGUCGAUCCCUCGUCGAAACGUGCUCUUUCUGCAACGAGUGCACUCUUAGCAUGAGUUGUAUGUCUUGCGGGGACUCCACCUGCCCCAAAUGUUGUCUCCCAUGUCUGGAUUAUGGUUCUGAAACAACAAGUUGUUUGUGGAGACAUCCAUCAAUGGUGCUAAGUUCUCAUCUAUAG